RNAcentral lists this ribosomal RNA (517 nucleotides) under uncultured bacterium. RNAcentral describes it as "bacterial SSU rRNA". It matches the Rfam family "Bacterial small subunit ribosomal RNA", at positions 7 to 518 of the family's 1533-position model. The record is from RNAcentral.
GAGAGUUGAUCAUGGCUCAGGAUGAACGCUGGCGGCGUGCCUAAUACAUGCAAGUCGAACGAGGUAGCAAUACCGAGUGGCGAACGGGUGAGUAACACGUAGGUAACCUGCCCUUAAGCUUGGGAUACCCAGAGGAAACUUUGGCUAAUACCGGAUAACAACAGAGAAGGCAUCUUCUUUGCUUGAAAGGCCCCUUCAAGGGUCACUUAAGGAUGGACCUGCGGCGCAUUAGCUAGUUGGUGAGAUAACAGCCCACCAAGGCGAGGAUGCGUAGCCGAACUGAGAGGUUGAUCGGCCACAUUGGAACUGAGACACGGUCCAAACUCCUACGGGAGGCAGCAGUAAGGAGUUUUCGGCAAUGGGGGAAACCCUGACCGAGCAACGCCGCGUGAGCGAUGACGGUCCUUUGGAUUGUUAAAAAGCUCUGUUGUAAGCCAUGAAUGACAGCUUGAGGAAAUGCAAGUUGUUUGACGACAGCUUACCAGAAAGCCACGGCUAACUACGUGCCAGCAGCUGC